This 492-nucleotide ribosomal RNA is filed under the name uncultured bacterium. RNAcentral's name for it is "partial 16S ribosomal RNA". It matches the Rfam family "Bacterial small subunit ribosomal RNA", at positions 29 to 507 of the family's 1533-position model. The record is from RNAcentral.
AGUGAACGCUAGCGGCAGGCCUAACACAUGCAAGUCGAACGGCAGCACAGUAAGAGCUUGCUCUUACGGGUGGCGAGUGGCGGACGGGUGAGGAAUACAUCGGAAUCUACUUUUUCGUGGGGGAUAACGUAGGGAAACUUACGCUAAUACCGCAUACGACCUACGGGUGAAAGCAGGGGAUCUUCGGACCUUGCGCGAUUGAAUGAGCCGAUGUCGGAUUAGCUAGUUGGCGGGGUAAAGGCCCACCAAGGCGACGAUCCGUAGCUGGUCUGAGAGGAUGAUCAGCCACACUGGAACUGAGACACGGUCCAGACUCCUACGGGAGGCAGCAGUGGGGAAUAUUGGACAAUGGGCGCAAGCCUGAUCCAGCCAUACCGCGUGGGUGAAGAAGGCCUUCGGGUUGUAAAGCCCUUUCGUUGGGAAAGAAAAGCAGCAGGUUAAUACCCCGCUGUUCUGACGGUACCCAAAGAAUAAGCACCGGCUAACUUCGUG